This 497-nucleotide ribosomal RNA is filed under the name uncultured bacterium. RNAcentral's name for it is "partial 16S ribosomal RNA". It matches the Rfam family "Bacterial small subunit ribosomal RNA", at positions 28 to 507 of the family's 1533-position model. The record is from RNAcentral.
GAUGAACGCUGGCGGCGUGCCUAAUACAUGCAAGUCCAGCGAACGGACGAGAAGCUUGCUUCUCUGAUGUUAGCGGCGGACGGGUGAGUAACACGUGGAUAACCUACCUAUAAGACUGGGAUAACUUCGGGAAACCGGAGCUAAUACCGGAUAAUAUUUUGAACCGCAUGGUUCAAAAGUGAAAGACGGUCUUGCUGUCACUUAUAGAUGGAUCCGCGCUGCAUUAGCUAGUUGGUAAGGUAACGGCUUACCAAGGCAACGAUGCAUAGCCGACCUGAGAGGGUGAUCGGCCACACUGGAACUGAGACACGGUCCAGACUCCUACGGGAGGCAGCAGUAGGGAAUCUUCCGCAAUGGGCGAAAGCCUGACGGAGCAACGCCGCGUGAGUGAAGAAGGUCUUCGGAUCGUAAAACUCUGUUAUUAGGGAAGAACAUAUGUGUAAGUAACUGUGCACAUCUUGACGGUACCUAAUCAGAAAGCCACGGCUAACUACGUG